UUUUUUUUGUUGGACAAAAAAAAAUGUAAAGUUUCAUUGGUAGGGUUCCUGGUUUAGUAGAUUUAUAGUUUGAUGAGGAUUACAUAUCAUAG
Ipomoea nil (Japanese morning glory) is the source of this 92-nucleotide long non-coding RNA. RefSeq lists it as uncharacterized. The transcript is spliced from 3 exons. NCBI's taxonomy places the organism in Eukaryota, Viridiplantae, Streptophyta, Magnoliopsida, Solanales, Convolvulaceae. The record is from RefSeq and is a predicted model, not a curated record.